RNAcentral lists this ribosomal RNA (491 nucleotides) under uncultured bacterium. RNAcentral describes it as "partial 16S ribosomal RNA". It matches the Rfam family "Bacterial small subunit ribosomal RNA", at positions 29 to 507 of the family's 1533-position model. The record is from RNAcentral.
AGUGAACGCUGGCGGUAGGCCUAACACAUGCAAGUCGAACGGCAGCACAGUAAGAGCUUGCUCUUACGGGUGGCGAGUGGCGGACGGGUGAGGAAUACAUCGGAAUCUACUUUUUCGUGGGGGAUAACGUAGGGAAACUUACGCUAAUACCGCAUACGACCUACGGGUGAAAGCAGGGGAUCUUCGGACCUUGCGCGAUUGAAUGAGCCGAUGUCGGAUUAGCUAGUUGGCGGGGUAAAGGCCCACCAAGGCGACGAUCCGUAGCUGGUCUGAGAGGAUGAUCAGCCACACUGGAACUGAGACACGGUCCAGACUCCUACGGGAGGCAGCAGUGGGGAAUAUUGACAAUGGGCGCAAGCCUGAUCCAGCCAUACCGCGUGGGUGAAGAAGGCCUUCGGGUUGUAAAGCCCUUUUGUUGGGAAAGAAAAGCAGCAGGUUAAUACCCCGCUGUUCUGACGGUACCUAAAGAAUAAGCACCGGCUAACUUCGUG